CAGAUACGAACUGUACUUUUGAGGUACUAUGAGAUAUGAUUUUUUUUUGGUUUGCCGCUUCCUAUUUGAAUAUUUUCAAUCAUGAAGCUUGUGAUGGCAAGCAUUUGUGAGUUGACUGAAGGAACUGGCCUUCAAGGGGUAUUUUCACAGGUUGUAUAAAUAAUAUGAAACAACAUUAAAACAUGAAAAAUAUCUCUGCUGCUGCCUCUUUUGUUUUCUGUUUCUUAUUCU
RNAcentral lists this unclassified non-coding RNA (231 nucleotides) under Hevea brasiliensis (rubber tree). The record is from RNAcentral. Lineage: Eukaryota; Viridiplantae; Streptophyta; Magnoliopsida; Malpighiales; Euphorbiaceae.